Molecule: unclassified non-coding RNA, 312 nt
Filed under: Hevea brasiliensis (rubber tree)
Lineage: Eukaryota; Viridiplantae; Streptophyta; Magnoliopsida; Malpighiales; Euphorbiaceae
Source: RNAcentral
CCAAAAUGUUUUCAAAAUUACACCAAGCAACUGAUAAGGCCUAAAGGAUUUCUUUUGGGAGCCAGAAACAACCUGCUUUUCUGUGUGUGUUUCAGGAGCCACGUGAACAUGGUGGGGCAAAGCUCCUCUUCUAAAGUUCAAGCUCUUUACGAUCUCUGCACGACCACCUUCACGCCUUCGGGAAUUCCUCCUUCUUCCCCAGCUAUCCACAAGCUCUGCUCUCUUUUGGACACAGUCCACCCUGUUGAUGUAGGGCUUAAAGAGGAAAAUCCAGAUGAUGAUCGGGGCCAUGGCUUUUUCGGACUGAACCGA